AGUGAACGCUGGCGGUAGGCCUAACACAUGCAAGUCGAACGGCAGCACCGUAAGAGCUUGCUCUUACGGGUGGCGAGUGGCGGACGGGUGAGGAAUACAUCGGAAUCUACUUUUUCGUGGGGGAUAACGUAGGUAAACUUACGCUAAUAUCGCAUACGACCUACGGGUGAAAGCAGGGGAUCUUCGGACCUUGCGCGAUUGAAUGAGCCGAUGUCGGAUUAGCUAGUUGGCGGGGUAAAGGCCCACCAAGGCGACGAUCCGUAGCUGGUCUGAGAGGAUGAACAGCCACACUGGGACUGAGACACGGUCCAGACUCCUACGGGAGGCAGCCGUGGGGAAUAUUGGACCAUGGGCGCAAGCCUGAUCCAGCCAUACCGCGUGGGUGAAGAAGGCCUUCGCGUUGUAGAGCCCUUUUGUUGGGAAAGAAAAGCAGCAGGUUAAUACCCCGCUGUUCUGACGGUACCCAAAGAAUAAGCACCGGCUAACCUCGUC
Molecule: ribosomal RNA, 492 nt
Filed under: uncultured bacterium
Lineage: Bacteria
Description: partial 16S ribosomal RNA
Rfam family: Bacterial small subunit ribosomal RNA
Source: RNAcentral